Long non-coding RNA from Callithrix jacchus (white-tufted-ear marmoset), 2887 nucleotides. The record is from Ensembl. Lineage: Eukaryota; Metazoa; Chordata; Mammalia; Primates; Cebidae.
AUGGUAUUGCAGCUUCCCACUGGGGUUGACAGAGCUGGUGCUCAGGUAAUCAACAUUUUGCUGAGCCUACGAGGAAGCAUUUGGGACAACUUCACAAUGCAUAUUAUUUGGAGUUCGUUCCUUAGACUUAAUACUCAAGGAAGGUUUGAUGGAAGGCUUUCUGUAGACAACUCAAUUGGCUCUGACACACCAACAAAGCCUCUCUGGAGCCAAGAUAAACCCAAGGCUCAUUUCUGCAUUUAUUUAUUAAUACAGCAAAUGUGGUUAUUUUUUGGAGAUUAUUAGAAAAUCUACAUAAUAGAAGUGAACUUGCACCCUGAUAUUAGUUCUGUGUUCAUUGUCUUUUCUUUUAUUUCUCAAUAAGAGCUUAGAAAACAACGGGAUAGAAAUGUGAAUUCACUCUUACUGAGAUAUCGGUUUUCAUGUCAAAGGAAAAGAAUAAGCAAAUGAAACCCUAUGAUUCUGUAAUACUGACUUUCUAUUCAACUGACACGUAAAUCGGAAAAUGGGAAAUGAAAGAGAUCAUGUCUAGCUUAGCAAGGCAUCUAUUGAAGGCCCACUGUGAAACAUAUCUUGCUCUGGGCAUUUCUAAAUGGGUACUACAAGAAAUAUAAAUAUUGGAGAGAUUGCUGGUAUCUAGGUUUCCUUCUAUAUAGAAUUUCUACCCAUUUGAUGUAGAUGUAGAGAAGGUAAUGUAGAUUUUCUCAGUUUGUUAACAUAAAGUUAUAUAAACAAAUACUCGAACUUCCCAUAGCACAGAGUGAAGAACUCAACAUUUACUCGUUUCUUACUAUUUUUUAGGCACUGUGAGCGUUCUGGGUAUGAAAUUAGAAAGAUAUGAGCAUCCUUUGUAAGGAAUACAGUUUCUAGCUAUGCUCUAAGAUUAAAUCUGACUAGAUCAAUAGGACUCUAGCUCUUGUAUUUUCUUGAGUUUUAGAGACAAGGGCUACCAAAUUCUGAUGGUUAAUUUUGUAUGUCAAAUUCAUUGGGAGAUGGGAUGCCCAGAUAUUUGGUUAAACAUUAUUCUGAGAAUAUCUGUGAGGCUGUUUUUGGAUGAGAUUAACACAUGAAUUGGUAGAAUAAGUAAAGCAGAUUAUCUUCCAUAAUGUGAGUGGCAUCGUUCUAUCCAUUGGAGGCCAAAAUAGAACAAAAUGUGGGGUAAGGGAGAACUUACUCUCUCUGCCUGCUUUUGAGUUGGGACAUCAUUCUCCUGCACUCAACAUGGAGCUACACUGCCGGCUCCCUGGACUUCCAACUUGCAGACAACAGAGCAUGAGUCUUCUCAGUCUCCGCAAUCAUUGGAGUCAAUUCCUUAUAAAUAUUUUAAUACAUGUAUGUGUGUUUGUGUGUGUCCUAUUGGUUCUGUGUCAAUGGAGAACCCUGACUAAUACACCAAAGAACUCCAGAAGAUGCACAGAAACAAAGUAUGUUGAAUUCUCAGAGGGAUACCCCAUAAAAAUCUAAGGGAAUACUUCUUGUGAAACAUAUUAGAUACUUCAUUACUACUAACUCUGAAAACAACAGUCUAGGUUUACCUUCGAGAAGGUACUUUUGAAAAUAAAGUUACCAAUGUCUAAAACUAAAGUUAAAAAGUGUAGAUUAGACAAGCUAAGAAUAGGUCUAUAUACCACCCAGAAAAACACAUGCAAGUUUGCCAUAUAGUCAACACUGAAUUUUGAAUUUAUAGAAAUGGGACACAAAAAGUUGGAAGGGCAUUUACCAAUUUGCAGUGAGAAAGAAACCAGAACUCUCUGACCAUGCAGCAAAGAAUGGAGCUGGGAGACAAACAGCCACUUUUCUUAGCUUCUGACAUAAAAUCUUUAAUUUUUUAUAUACCUGGUUAUAGAGAUCUAGGGUCAGUCAAAGGUUACUGACAAAGCAGGGGCCCAGAUUUCCAUUUAAUUACAAAAAAAAGUAGCUGCUUGAUUAAAUUUCAUGUAAUAUUCAGCUAUCCUACAAUACAAAACCCAUAAAAGGAUCAAGUGAAAGAAAAACCAGAGGAUUAUUGUGGUUUUUAAAAACAAUAGUCAGUGAGAACAACCCACCACAGGUGCACUCAAUUGCUGGGCUUUCGUGUGGGAUCACUUUAUUUUGUAAAGUUUUAUGCUCUAAAAUUCAAAUAAGAGAAUGGAAAGAAAAGAUGUAGAGGCAUUUGAGCCCAGGGUCCCAGUGUGUACUCACAGUUUGCUUUGAUAUCAUGGGCAGUGGAAGCUGAUCAGUAUUUGUCUGGCAAUUUUCUCAUCAGCUCAAAAUCACCACAGAAAGUUCUAGAUUUUGUAAGAAACAUUUUUAUGGUCACUUUAAAAAAAUUAACUAACAAGUUUAUACUUCAUGAUAUACCUGCAAAUAAAGUAUAUGCCUGAAAAUAGAUCCACGAUUACAGGGAGAAAGCUCUACUCUCUUUCAGGCUCCCUUCUUUUUUUUUUUUAACUUUUAUUUCAAGUUCAAAGGUAUAUAUAUGUGCAGGUUUGUUAUACAGGUAAACUGUCAUGGAGGUUAGUUGUACAGAUUAUUUGAUCACCCAGAUGUUAGUUUAGUACACAUUAGUUAUUUUUCCUGAUCCUCUUCAUCCCCCCACUGCAAAAUGGAACAUGCAUGUGUAUGUUCAUUGCAACACUAUUUCUAAUAUAAAAGAAAUGGAAUCAACCUAAAUGUCUAUCAGUGGUAGACUGGAUAAAGAAAAUAUGAUAUUGAUGCAUGAUGGAAUACUGUGCAGUCAAAAGAAAAUUAAGGUUAUGUCCUUUGCAGCAACAUGAAUGGAGCUGGAGGCCAUUAUUUUAUGCAAACCAAUGCAGAAACAGAAAACCACUUAUAACUGGGAGCUGAACAAUGAGAACCAUGGAUACUAGGAGGGCAACAACAGACAGUGGGACCUUCUUCAGGGUGG